This 496-nucleotide ribosomal RNA is filed under the name uncultured bacterium. RNAcentral describes it as "partial 16S ribosomal RNA". It matches the Rfam family "Bacterial small subunit ribosomal RNA", at positions 28 to 506 of the family's 1533-position model. The record is from RNAcentral.
GAUGAACGCUGGCGGCGUGCCUAAUACAUGCAAGUCGAGCGAACAGACGAGGAGCUUGCUCCUCUGAUGUUAGCGGCGGACGGGUGAGUAACACGUGGAUAACCUACCUAUAAGACUGGGAUAACUUCGGGAAACCGGAGCUAAUACCGGAUAACAUGUUGAACCGCAUGGUUCAACAGUGAAAGACGGUCUUGCUGUCACUUAUAGAUGGAUCCGCGCCGCAUUAGCUAGUUGGUAAGGUAACGGCUUACCAAGGCAACGAUGCGUAGCCGACCUGAGAGGGUGAUCGGCCACACUGGAACUGAGACACGGUCCAGACCCCUACGGGAGGCAGCAGUAGGGAAUCUUCCGCAAUGGGCGAAAGCCUGACGGAGCAACGCCGCGUGAGUGAAGAAGGUCUUCGGAUCGUAAAACUCUGUUAUUAGGGAAGAACAAAUGUGUAAGUAACUAUGCACGUCUUGACGGUACCUAAUCAGAAAGCCACGGCUAACUACGU